CGAACGGGUGAGUAACGCGUUGGUGACCUACCCCAAAGCGGGGGAUAACAGCCUGAAAGGGUUGCUAAUACCGCAUAUAAUCUAGAGGGCUUAGAAGCUUUAGAUAAAAGGAGAAAUCCACUUUGGGAGGGGCCUGCGUCCCAUCAGCUAGUUGGUAGGGUAAAAGCCUACCAAGGCGAUGACGGGUAGGGGACCUGAGAGGGUGACCCCCCACAAUGGAACUGAAACACGGUCCAUACACCUACGGGUGGCAGCAGUAGGGAAUAUUGCACAAUGGGCGAAAGCCUGAUGCAGCAACGCCGCGUGAGUGAUGAAGGCCUUCGGGUUGUAAAACUCUUUUCAAGAGGAAGAGGAAGGACGGUACUCUUGGAAUAAGCCUCGGCUAACUACGUGCCAGCAGCCGCGGUAACACGUAGGAGGCGAGCGUUAUUCGGAUUUACUGGGCGUAAAGCGCGUGUAGGCGGCUCUAUAAGUUGGAUGUAAAAGCUCCCGGCUUAACUGGGAGAGGACGUUCAAAACUAUAGAGCUUGAGUACGAGAGAGGAAAAUGGAAUUCCGGGUGUAGUGGUGAAAUGCGUAGAUAUCCGGAGGAACACCAGUGGCGAAGGCGAUUUUCUGGCUCGAGACUGACGCUCAGACGCGAAAGCUAGGGUAGCAAACGGGAUUAGAGACCCCGGUAGUCCUAGCUGUAAACGAUGUAGACUAGGCGUUGGUGGAGUAAAAUCCAACAGUGCCGCAGCAAACGCGAUAAGUCUACCGCCUGGGGGACUACGGCCGCAAGGUUAAAACUCAAAGGAAUUGACGGGGCCCCGCACAAGCAGCGGAGCGUGUGGUUUAAUUCGAUGCUACACGAAGAACCUUACCAGGGUUUGACAUACAAGUAGUAGGGAAAGGAAACUGGACCGACCCUUCGGGGAGCUUGUACAGGUGCUGCAUGGCUGUCGUCAGCUCGUGUCGUGAGAUGUUCGGUUAAGUCCGCUAACGAGCGCAACCCUCGCUGUGUGUUACAAGUGUCACACGGAACUGCCGGUCAUAAACCGGAGGAAGGUGGGGAUGACGUCAAGUCAGCAUGGCCUUUAUAUCCUGGGCUACACACACGCUACAAUGGGAAAGGACAAUAGGUAGUGAAACCGCGAGGUGGAGCCAAUCCAGCAAAAUUUCCCUCAGUUCAGAUUGCAGGCUGCAACU
This 1187-nucleotide ribosomal RNA is filed under the name uncultured bacterium. Its description in RNAcentral is "bacterial SSU rRNA". It matches the Rfam family "Bacterial small subunit ribosomal RNA", at positions 99 to 1312 of the family's 1533-position model. The record is from RNAcentral.